RNAcentral lists this ribosomal RNA (940 nucleotides) under uncultured archaeon. RNAcentral describes it as "bacterial SSU rRNA". It matches the Rfam family "Archaeal small subunit ribosomal RNA", at positions 8 to 921 of the family's 1478-position model. The record is from RNAcentral.
UUGAUCCUGCCGGAGAUCACUGUUAUCAGGUUUCGACUUAUCCAUGCGAGGCGCGAGCUAUUUGGGCUCGCCGAACUGCUCAGUAACACGUAGUUAACCUAACCUCAAGUGGAGGAUAAUCCUGGGAAACUGGGGCUAAUACUCCAUAGCUGUUGAGUGCUGGAAUGCUUUAACAGCCAAAACUCAGGCGCUUGAGGAUGGGACUGCGGCCUAUCAUGGCUGUUGUGAGUUUAAAAUACUCACAAACCUAUAACGGGUAGAGGCCAUGAGAGUGGAAGCCUCGAGAUGCCUUCUGAGACAUGAAGGCAGGUCCUACGGGACGCAGCAGGCGCGAAAACUUUCCAAUUGCUUAACGGCUGAGAAGGGAAGCCUGAGUGUCUAUGCAUAGCAUAGACUUUUGUAUUGCUUAAAUAGCAAAACGAAUAAGUGGUGGGUAAGACGGGUGGCAGCCGCCGCGGUAAUACCCGCGCCACUAAUGGUGAUCGCGAUUAUUGGGUCUAAAGCGUCCGUAGCCGGUUCAACAAGUUCUUGGUGAAAUCCAGCAGUUAACUGUUGGGCUUGCUGAGAAUACUGUUGGACUUGGGAUUGGGAUAGGAUAGGGGUAUUCCAUGAGUAGGGGUUAAAUCCUUUAAUUCAUGGAGGACCACCGGUGGCGAAGGCGCCUAUCUGGAACAAGUCCGACGGUGAGGGACGAAAGCGUGGGGAGCAAAUCUAAUCCUUCGAUAAAAGGAUGAGAGCUCAAAUGGGAUUAGAUACCCCAGUAGUCCACGCUGUAAACGAUGUCCGCCUGAUGUUGCAAACUCUACGGGAGUUUGCAGUGUCGGAGUGUAGGUGUUAAGCGGACCACCUGGGGAGUACGGCCGCAAGGUUGAAACUUAAGGGAAUUGGCGGGAGAGCACACAAGGGGUGGAGGCUGCGGUUUAAUUGGAUUCAACGCCGG